This 513-nucleotide ribosomal RNA is filed under the name Triticum aestivum (bread wheat). Its description in RNAcentral is "partial small subunit ribosomal RNA". Lineage: Eukaryota; Viridiplantae; Streptophyta; Magnoliopsida; Poales; Poaceae. The record is from RNAcentral.
AUGUCGACGGCGGCUGCAUCCCGGCCCAGCGGCCCUGUGCUUCUGAGCCCCUUUCCCAACUACCAAUCCGCCUCGCUCUCCCGUGUCAAGCUCUCGGUCGCCGGCUCGCCGGCCAAGUCCUUCAGCGUCUCGUCUCCCCCCUCCUCCCCCACCGCAGCCCCCAAGAUCCGUCGGUCCUGCAUGUGCUCCCCGACGAACCACCCCGGCUUGUUCCGCUGCAGCCUCCACAAGGAGCGAAAGCAGGAGGCCCCGGCCGCCGGCAGCUGCAGCAAGCACACGGCCAGUACGUGCGCGCAGCUCGUCCCAAGCGGCAGCGGCAGCGGCUGCUCUAAACGCUCGUACAGCGGACUGGCGCAGCGCAUCCCCAUGGGGAGCGGGCACUGGGCACGCAAGGCGCUCGUGCCAUCCCACGCGGUGCAGCAGCUGCAGCACCGGAAGCGAGUGGUGGAGCGGUUCCACGCCGGGGCUAGCCGGCUCUCCGUCGCCUCCAUGGCCGGCCGCAGCAACCAGUAA